Molecule: ribosomal RNA, 489 nt
Filed under: uncultured Pseudomonadota bacterium
Lineage: Bacteria; Pseudomonadati; Pseudomonadota
Description: bacterial SSU rRNA
Rfam family: Bacterial small subunit ribosomal RNA
Source: RNAcentral
GAGGAGCCCGCGUCCCAUUAGCUAGUUGGCAGGGUAACGGCCUACCAAGGCGACGAUGGGUAGCCGGCCUGAGAGGGUGACCGGCCACACUGGAACUGAGACACGGUCCAGACUCCUACGGGAGGCAGCAGUGAGGAAUAUUGCGCAAUGGGCGAAAGCCUGACGCAGCGACGCCGCGUGGAGGAUGAAGGCCUUCGGGUCGUAAACUCCUGUCGAGGGGGACGAAAUGGCACCUUGCAAAUAACAAGGCGUCUUGACGGUACCCCUGGAGGAAGCCCCGGCUAACUCCGUGCCAGCAGCCGCGGUAAUACGGAGGGGGCCAGCGUUGCUCGGAAUCACUGGGCGUAAAGGGCUUGUAGGCGGUCUGAUAAGUCCUGUGUGAAAUCCCUUGGCUUAACCAAGGAACUGCGCCGGAUACUGUCGGACUAGAGGCCGGGAGAGGGAAGCGGAAUUCCGAGUGUAGCGGUGAAAUGCGUAGAUAUUCGGAGG